Molecule: ribosomal RNA, 253 nt
Filed under: uncultured bacterium
Lineage: Bacteria
Description: partial 16S ribosomal RNA
Rfam family: Bacterial small subunit ribosomal RNA
Source: RNAcentral
UACGGGGGGGGCAAGCGUUGUUCGGAAUUACUGGGCGUAAAGGGUGCGUAGGCGGCUUUCUAAGUUGGAUGUGAAAACUCUGGGCUCAACCCAGAGCCUGCAUCCAAAACUGGAGAGCUUGGGUUCUGGAGGGGAAAGCGGAAUUCCUGGUGUAGCGGUGAAAUGCGUAGAUAUCAGGAGGAACACCGGUGGCGAAGGCGACACCCUGGACCAGCACUGACACUGAGGCACGAAAGCGUGGGGAGCAAACGGG